UAUAGCCUUCAUCUUAUUAUAUUAAAGGUUACUCCCUUGUUCGUUAUAGCCUUCAUCUUAUUAUAUUAAAGGUUACUCCCUUCUUCGUUAUAGCCUUCAUCUUAUUAUAUUAAAGGUUACUCCCUUGUUCGUUAUAGCCUUCAUCUUAUUAUAUUAAAGGUUACUCCCUUGUUCGUUAUAGCCUUCAUCUUAUUAUAUUAAAGGUUACUCCCUUGUUCGUUAUAGCCUUCAUCUUAUUAUAUUAAAGGUUACUCCCUUGUUCGUUAUAGCCUUCAUCUUAUUAUAUUAAAGGUUACUCCCUUAUUCGUUAUAGCCUUCAUCUUAUUAUAUUAAAGGUUACUCCCUUGUUCGUUAUAGCCUUCAUCUUAUUAUAUUAAAGGUUACUCCCUUAUUCGUUAUAGCCUUCAUCUUAUUAUAUUAAAGGUUACUCCCUUAUUCGUUAUAGCUUUCAUCUUAUUAUAUUAAAGGUUACUCCCUGUUUUGUUCUUCGCUCAUUUUCCGUUUUUUCCACUGCAAGUGUGCAUAUUUAUUUAUUUAUUUAUUUAUUUAUUAUUCAUUUAUUUAUUUAAUGUUAUUUGUAGUAGUUAACUGAGGGGGGCACUACCCUGGCCUCCUCUUCCUCUGAUUCUCUUACUUCACACAUUUAUCUUAAUACUUCACACUAUUGUUCAUAUGCUUCAUUUUUUUAAUUUUUUUUAUUCAUGACUUUUUAUCCAUACCUCACACUUUUCUUAGUAUUUCACAUUUUUUCUAGAUCAUACUCUACACUUCCUACCUGGGGGACGCGGGUUAGGCCUUUAUAAAGUCACUCUAUGGCUGCAUGCCUGCCGCGGCACACCUCCACGCUGUGAGGCGUAGAGCCCCGUGCUCCCCUCCAUCCUGGGGUAACAAUCCUAAAACAAACAAACCUGAGAGGCAGGACGCUGCCGCUGCCUGUCACCUGACACCCUCUCACUGAUGAAUGGAUCGCGGCGCGGGUGGAGAGAGACUGCCCAUCCCUCUCCACUCCGCCCGGGAAGGAACUCAUGAAUUCUCGGUUGAGUCGCGU
This is a long non-coding RNA of Eriocheir sinensis (Chinese mitten crab), 1048 nucleotides long. RefSeq lists it as uncharacterized. The record is from RefSeq and is a predicted model, not a curated record. Lineage: Eukaryota; Metazoa; Arthropoda; Malacostraca; Decapoda; Varunidae. The transcript is spliced from 3 exons.